UCCUGGCGGGGGACCCGGGACGAACGAGCGCCGGGGACACGCACACACGGACUUAGACUUUCCGUGAGUACCGCGGGCUCCGUGAGCUGUGCCGUGGCGCCCGCCGUCCGCGCAGCACCUCUGCAACUCCGGCCUCGUCGGAUCCGCCCGGCAACCCCGGUCUGACGGCGCAGGGAGCCGAGGACCAACAGACUGAAGCGACCUGUGGGCGGCACGGGCCAGGGCCUCCCUACCCCAGGCCGACCGCGGGCCUAGCGCAGAGGGUCUGGGUCCGGCCCGGCUCUCGUCGUCCACCCCACUAGGAUCAACAACCAGUUCCUGGCAGGGCUGGACUGGGCUCUGCUUUACUGGGCUUCCCAAGAGAUACCCACGGGGAGGCACGUGUGGCAUGUGGAUGUGUCUCUGCAGCCCAGGAUUGGCUCAGCUGGAUAAAUCUGUAAUACAAGACCCUGCCUCCUACCUGUCUGUGCACACAGGUCUUAAGAGAUCAUUGAAAUGAGUAAGGAAGAGAUGCCUCAGCUCCCUGGAAAAGGAGGAAGAAUGCCAUAUGAAGAUUGGUGUUUUGCUGCCACGAGCCCAGGAACCAUCAGAAGCUGGGAGAGGAGCCCAGACCAGACCCUUCCUUAGUGCCAUCAGAGGGAAUGCGGCCUUGCUGACACCUUGACCUUGACAUCUGGCUUCCAAGAACAAUGAGACAAUAAAUUUCUAUUGUUCGAGCCACCCAGUUUGUGGUACUUGGUUGUGACAGCCUUAGCCAAACUAAUACACCACCCUACAGGAAUUUUUUAAGA
Molecule: long non-coding RNA, 791 nt
Organism: Canis lupus familiaris (dog)
Lineage: Eukaryota; Metazoa; Chordata; Mammalia; Carnivora; Canidae
Exons: 4
Source: RefSeq, a predicted model, not a curated record